Long non-coding RNA from Cucumis melo (muskmelon), 1512 nucleotides. RefSeq lists it as uncharacterized. The transcript is spliced from 2 exons. The record is from RefSeq and is a predicted model, not a curated record. Lineage: Eukaryota; Viridiplantae; Streptophyta; Magnoliopsida; Cucurbitales; Cucurbitaceae.
CCCAGCUUUAGAAAGAUUCGGGUUCUGAUCUUUAACGGCCAAUUUCAAGCCUUUAAAUUGAGGCGGAAGCUUCAGAUCUUGAAACCCUUUCAUCGCUUGUAGCUGCUGAAGCUGUGACGGUUGCAACCCCUGCACAUGUCCCCCUUUAGCUUCUUGAUUAGUACGGCGGCAUCUACAUUUCCGGUCACUGUGACCUUCCCCUGUUCUGCAUCUAUCUCGGUUGUAAAAACCCCUAAAAACCAACAUGGGAAAAGAAAAACCAAAACAAAACAAACCCCAGAAAUUAAAAAUAAGCAAACCCCAUCACACUCGAAACACUUUAUAAAGAAGUAAAAACAGUCAAAAUCAGGUGAAAGGAAAAAACAGAACAAACAAGGAUUACACUCAAACAAAGGAAAUAGAAAGAAUACCAUCGAUUUUCUGCAAGAUUUUCUUCACCUUGUGCUUGCAUCCAUCACAAUGAAUGUUCACCUUCAAGACACAUUUCUGCAUUCAACACCCAAAAAGGAAAAGAAAAAUCAACAAAUAGUAGAGACUAACAUUAGAAAAAAACAGAACAAAAAGACAGAAAAAGGGAAAAAACACAAAGUAAGUAGAGUAAACAAAGCACCUGGAUCUUCAAAAACUCUUCUUUACUCAUAGCUUGAAGUCAAACAAACAGUACGAGUGAGAAAGAGAGAGAAAAACAAAGGAAGAAAAAAAAAAAAAAAGGAGAUGAGAGGAGAAUAGAUCUAGGAAAUGAAACAGAGGAGAGAGUAAUGGGUUGUUAGUAGUAGUUGUUUGUUUUUUGGUUAGUGAUUAUGUUGGAACUCAACGAAGCAAAUCCAGAGAGAAAGUAGGAAUCUGAGAACAGAGAAAGAAACGAAGACCAAAGUUGAGAGAGAAACAGAGAGAUGGGAAGGGAUAGGUUGUGUUAAAAGGGUUUCUGUGUUCAACUCGUUCCUCUUUUUCAGGGUGAAACAAAGAAGAAAGAGAAACCUAAAAAAAAAAGAAAAAAAAAAAAAAAGGAAAUGUUAAAACAAAAGCAAAAACGAAGCAAAUGGGGGCAGAGGAGAAAGUGAAAAACGCUGCUGGCUGCACCAAAACGUAGAAACAGAGUACUCUUUAUUUUUGAACAAACCCCAUACUUUUCUUUCUUUUUUCUUUUUUCUUUUAAUUCAUCUCUCUAUUGGUUGCAUUUUGCAGAGAUUUCGAAAACCCUCCGAAUUUUUUUUUUAAAAUUAAUUAUUUGACUUGAGCCGAGCCGAGACAAGCCGACUUGAGAAUUGGGUUUUUUUUUUUGGCUCGGCUUGACGCGCUGGUGAGGGAAGAAACGGUGUCGUUCUGUGUGAAUGAUGAGGUCCCGACAAGACUGAUUUAUGGGUAAAGCUAAAUAGAUGUCUUUCCCCUGUUCUCUAUUCCAUGUGCUAAUUAUUAUAACAAAUCGUGUACAACGUAUGUAUAUCUUUUGAGUUAUGACGUUUGUUUGAGAAACAAAAUUGAAAGUUAAACCUCUCAUUUGUGUUUUGAAAA